This 3799-nucleotide long non-coding RNA is filed under the name Sus scrofa (pig). RNAcentral's name for it is "lncRNA (ENSSSCG00045000345.1)". Lineage: Eukaryota; Metazoa; Chordata; Mammalia; Artiodactyla; Suidae. The record is from RNAcentral.
UUGCAAACCACCUAAAUGAUCAUUGUCAUGGUCCGUGCAUUUGGGUUAGAAAAAGAAUUUUCCUGAUUCAUAGCAGGGUGAAAAGAAAGAUGAGUUUACUGAGAUAAGAAAUGCUGCUAGCAUAGUGGGAUGACUUCCUGAUGAUCAGAGAGAGCUGAAUCUGAGCGUGUGAUCAUGUCUGUUUUAUAGUCUAGGGGGAGGAAAGGUCUUAGUGUACACUUGCUGAUAGGCUGACUGGUUAGGGAAAGAGGGUCUUACGAUACACUUGCUGGUUUGUUGGGGGCAUAUAAGGUCCUUAUAGAGGUGGGGGAAGAGUGGGCCUUUCAUAGUAGGGGUCAGGAAGGACUAGGACAGUUGCUCAAGUUGGGAGGGGGCACUACAAUGAGAUGGAUGGGGCAAUGAUAAGGAUCUAGUAAUUCUUUUUGGGGGGUCUAGUAAAUCUUUAAUUUUUUUUUUAACUUUUUUUACUUUUUAGGGCUGCACCCACUGCAUAUGGAAGUUCUCAGGGUGAAAUCAGAGCUGCAGCUGCCAGCCCACACCACAGUAACAGCAACUCAGGAUCUGAGCCAUGUCUGCAACAUACACCACAGCUCACAGCAAUGCUGGAUCCUUAACCCACUGAGCAAGGCCAGGGAUCAAACCUGCAUCCUCUGGAGUUCCCAUUGUGGCACUGCAGAAAUGAAUCUGACUAGGAACCAUAAAGUCCCACAACCAUCAACAGACUAAUUGGAUGCCCAUAACCAAAACAAAACAAAACAAAACAAAAACCCAGCACAACCAGAUCAUCUGAGAAAUCCAUCCAUCACUGCAACCAGAAGAGAGUGGAUCGGACCUUAUCAGUGCCUACAAGAGUCAAGGUAGUCACAGUGGUAACAAUGGCAGUAGAGGCAGCUGGUGGACGAUCCAGCAGAGGUGACUGAAAAUGAAAUUCUCUCUGGCUGCUCUGGUGCAGCUGGAGGGACAUGUUCCUCUUCAUCAGCACCUGGGUUUCUGUAAAGGGACCUCUAUGGCUGGGCAGAGGGAAGAAAAAUGAAGAAGGCAGAGAAAGGAAUGUAAACAAACACAUUUGUCUGCCCUGGGAUUUCAGGGCAAGGUUCACCCACCUCUGGGACUCCUCAACUUGAGGAUGUCCCCACUGGUUUGUGUAUACACCCAAAACCCCAAUGUGCCAAGCCCACACCUUCCCUAAUUCUGUCACCAGCCGGUUUUUGUUUUGUUUUGUUUUUGCUUUUUAUUCCUGGAUUAUAGGUACACACCUAACUAUAGCAGCUAGUCAACUGUGGUAAGAGAAACCAAUGAUUGUGCUAUAGUGCCACCUUUUUGAAAACAAAGAAAAAUUUUGAAUUGCCAAUAUAUUGACAUACUAAAUUCAAACUAAACAAAGCUUUCCCUAAAUAAGAAAAGUGUGUGCUGCUUCAGAUGAGAUCAACAAAGCACAUUUUAUAAAAUGCUUUGCAAAGUCAUGGUAAUAUGACAUCACAAAAAGAAAAUGAGUUUUCCAGCAAUUGAUCUCAAAGCCAUGGAAUAUUGUAAUCUAAUUAUUAAAGAAUUCAAAAUAGCUCUUAUUAAGUAAGUCAACAAGGUGCAGGAAAAUUCAGAGGUAUUUCAAAGAACUCAGGAAUAAAAUUAGUAAAAAGAAGGAGUACUUUACCAAGAAUUGAAAUUAUGACAAAGAACCAAACAGAAAUGUUGAAGCUGAGAAACUCCAUAAAUGAAGUAAAGAAGACAUUGCAAAUAGAGAAGAAUAGAUGAAAGCGACUAAUCAAUUGGUGGAUAGAAACUAGAAAUAAUUCAAGUCAAAGAGGACAGAGAGCUAGUAUUUUAAAAGCAAAGAAACUCUAUGAGAAUUAUCACAAUCUAUUAGAAAAGCCAAUAAAAUAAUAAUGGGCAGACCAGAAGGAGAAGGGAGGAGGGGUACAGAGAAUUUAUUUAAAGAGUAAUAGCUCAGAGUUCCCACUGUAGCUCAGUGGCAAUGGACCUGAUUAGUAUCCAUAAGGAUGCAGGUUUGAUACCUGGCCUCGCUCAGUAGGUUAAGGAUCCAGUGUUGCCAUGAGCUGUGGUGUAGGUGAUAGCUACAGGUCAGAACCUGCAUUGCUGUGGCUCAGAUCCUGCAUUGCUCUGGCUGUGGCAUAGGUUGGCAGCUACAGCUCUGAUUUGACCCCUAGCCUGGGAACUUCCAUAUGCUGCAUGUGAGGCACUAAAAAAAAUAUAAUAAUAGCAGAUUGUUUACCACAACUGGGAAAUGACCUGGGCAUACUUGUACCCAAAGCUAAUAGAACACUUUAUUAUCUCCAGGGAAGAAGAUGUUCUUCAGGACACAUUCUAAAGAAGCUGUCAAAAAUCCAUGAUAAAGAAACAAUUUUGAAGUCAGCCAGGGAAUUAAAAAAAAUAACCUAUAAAGGGAUCAAUAUGGCAGAGUAAGAGCACAUGGAGCUCAGCUGCCCCCAAGAACACAUCAAAGCUACACCUGCACGAUUUCAGUUCUCAUUGAAAACUAACUGGAAACUGGCAGAAGGACUCCUGUACAAUCAAGACUAUGAGAAUGAUACACAUAUGAUUGGAUAGGAAGGGGAGAAAAGCAAUAGGCAUGGACCUGUGCCCCUGGAAGGGGACACAGAGGAAAAGGAAGAUUACAUGGGUGGACACCCACCAUCAGGACUGAGCAGGUUGAGCUACAGGCUGGGAACCCCUGUCCUGGAGAGUCCCAUGUGAAGGAGACAAGCCCUCUUGGCUAUUUGGAGGAUCUCUGGGAGAAAUAAAAGGGUUGGGGGAAAACUGGAUUCCACUUGUGAAGACAGUACAUACUGACUAGUCACUGAGGCAGGACAGAAACAUGAGCUCUUUAUCAAGACAAGCAAAUGAUCCAGCUCUGCUGACUACAUGCCACAGCCUGGCACUUGAUCUGUAGCAGCAGCAGCUGGGGAAAAGACUCAACUAUGGGACCCAGAGCUAGCUUGUUCCCAGGGAGAAGCCCAGGUGGGGAAGCUUUAGUCAUUGCUGUGUUUACUCAAGCAACACAACAUAAGCUACCCAUAUCUCUGACAGUGGCACUCCACCACAGAUAGCCCCCCAGUACAUGCAGACAAACCUCACAGGCCCCACCUGUCCUACAGAGCAUUUCCUUAAUAGGGCGGGAUUGGUGGAGGCUGGGGAUAGUGAUCAGUUGUGAGAAACAAAGAGGAUCCCCCUCACCCAGCAAGCAGGUCAGAGCGAGGUCUACUCUAGAAACUGCCAGGUUUCCCACAACUAGGUCAUUGUGCACUGCAUUCUGAGCCAAACAAGUACUCCCAUCCAAUUCACUCUAAACCACAAUGUGGCACUGGAUCUAGGCUUCCCAUGACCAGGCAAAAUAUUUGACCUCAGGAUAUAGAGGCAACCCAGUUUUGGGGAAGAAGUUGUGUGGAGUGGUGGAAACCACUGUUGGCACUCGCAUAAGCAGUGUCUCAAAAAGGAACUCAAACAUAUCACACCAUCAUAUUAUAUAUUUAAAAUCCAAAAGUUAAAAAGAUAAUUCUAAAGGCAGCAGGAGAAAAACAACAUGCUAUACACAAAAGGAAUCCUCAUAAGGCUAUCAGCUGAUUUCUCCACAGAAAUGUUGCAGGCCAUAAGGUAGUGGCGUGAUGUAUUCAAAGUGCUGAAAGAGAAAAUCCUGCAAAGUAGGAUUCUCUGCCCAAUUAUAACCACAAGCUAAAAACCUAUAAUAGAUUCAUAAAAACUGAAAAUAAAAAAGACAAACACUCUACUAAAGAAACCCAUCACUAUAAGACAAGAAACUAAAAGAAGAAAUGAUCAGGGAAUA